RNAcentral lists this ribosomal RNA (235 nucleotides) under Leucocoprinus birnbaumii. RNAcentral's name for it is "5.8S ribosomal RNA". The stretch from base 1 to 127 matches the Rfam family "5.8S ribosomal RNA", at positions 28 to 154 of the family's 154-position model. Rfam says of the family: 5.8S ribosomal RNA (5.8S rRNA) is a component of the large subunit of the eukaryotic ribosome. The record is from RNAcentral. Lineage: Eukaryota; Fungi; Basidiomycota; Agaricomycetes; Agaricales; Agaricaceae.
UCGCAUCGAUGAAGAACGCAGCGAAAUGCGAUAAGUAAUGUGAAUUGCAGAAUUCAGUGAAUCAUCGAAUCUUUGAACGCACCUUGCGCUCCUUGGUAUUCCGAGGAGCAUGCCUGUUUGAGUGUCAGUAAAUUCUCAACUCCUUCAGCUUUUGUGGCUGACUGGGGCUUGGAUGUGGAGGUCUUGCGGGCCCGCAUGGGUCGGCUCCUCUGAAAUGCAUUAGCGGAACCGUUUG